Molecule: small nuclear RNA, 176 nt
Organism: Dromaius novaehollandiae (emu)
Lineage: Eukaryota; Metazoa; Chordata; Aves; Casuariiformes; Dromaiidae
Gene: U1
Rfam family: U1 spliceosomal RNA
About the family: U1 is a small nuclear RNA (snRNA) component of the spliceosome (involved in pre-mRNA splicing). Its 5' end forms complementary base pairs with the 5' splice junction, thus defining the 5' donor site of an intron.
Source: Ensembl
UCACUUGUCUGGCCAGGGAGACACUGUAAUCAAGAAGGUGAUUCUCCCAGGUUGGGACCUUCCUAGCACUCUGAGUGUGCUGCUUCCUCUGAUUUCCCCAGCUGAGUGAAACAUGACUGCAAACUUUCUGUUAGUGGGAGACUAGCUGAAGAGUUAAAAAUAGUGCUUUGCUUCGG